RNAcentral lists this ribosomal RNA (1440 nucleotides) under metagenome. Its description in RNAcentral is "bacterial LSU rRNA". It matches the Rfam family "Bacterial large subunit ribosomal RNA", at positions 1472 to 2925 of the family's 2925-position model. The record is from RNAcentral.
CCUGAGAAGGCUCAGGCAACCAGCUGCUGGAAUAGCUGGGGCAAGCGAGAUACCUGCGCACCAGGGAAAUCCGGUGCGCGCAAGGGGAAGGCGCGAAGCAUACGGAAAGCUGCGGCAAGUACGGAAAAGCUGAGAGCAGGCUUCCAGGAAAAGCUUCUAGCACAACACGCAUCGGCCCGUACCGAAAAUGGACACACAUGGGCAAGGAGAGAAUCCUGAGGUGAGCGAGAGAACUAUAGCUAAGGAACUCUGCAAAAUGACCCCGUAACUUAGGGAGGAGGGGUGCUCCAGAAAUGGAGCCGCAGUAAAACGGCCCAAGCGACUGUUUACCAAAAACACAGCUCUCUGCGAAGGCGCAAGCCGAAGUAUAGGGGGUGACGCCUGCCCGGUGCUGGAAGGUCAAGGGGAGCUGUCAGCGCAAGCGAAGCAGCGAGCCGAAGCCCCAGUAAACGGCGGCCGUAACGAUAACGGUCCUAAGGUAGCGAAAUUCCUUGUCGGGCAAGUUCCGACCCGCACGAAAGGCGUAACGAUUUGGGCGCUGUCUCAGCUGUAGACUCGGUGAAGUCUUAGUACCUGUGAAGAUGCAGGUUGCCCGCGACUAGACGGAAAGACCCCAUGGAGCUUCACUGCAGGUUGACAUUGGGCUUGGAUGCAUGAUGUACAGGAUAGGUGGGAGGCUGUGAGCCGUGCGCGCCAGCGUACGGGGAGCCGCUGUUGGGAUACCACCCUUCAUGCAUCUAGGUCCUAACCGGAGGCAACGGGCCACGGGACAGUGUCAGUCGGGCAGUUUGACUGGGGCGGUCGCCUCCCAAAGAGUAACGGAGGCGCCCAAAGAUACCCUCAGCAUGGAUGGAAACCAUGCAUAGAGUGCAAAGGCAUAAGGGUGUCUGACUGCGAGACAUACAGGUCGAGCAGGGACGAAAGUCGGGCUUAGUGAUCCGGCGGAUCCGAAUGGAAGGGCCGUCGCUCAACGGAUAAAAGCUACCCUGGGGAUAACAGGCUGAUCUCCCCCAAGAGUUCACAUCGACGGGGAGGUUUGGCACCUCGAUGUCGGCUCAUCGCAUCCUGGAGCUGAAGUCGGUUCCAAGGGUUGGGCUGUUCGCCCAUUAAAGCGGUACGCGAGCUGGGUUCAGAACGUCGUGAGACAGUUCGGUCCCUAUCUGUCGUGGGCGCAGGAGGUUUGAGGAGAGCUGCCCCUAGUACGAGAGGACCGGGGUGGACGGACCGAUGGUGCACCAGUUGUCACGCCAGUGGCACAGCUGGGCAGCCAAGUCCGGACGGGAUAAGCGCUGAAGGCAUCUAAGCGUGAAGCCCCCUCCAAGAUGAGACCUCCCAUUGGCGACAAGUAAGGCCCCUCGAAGACGACGAGGUUGAUAGGCCGCGAGUGCAAGCGCAGCGAUGUGCUUAGCGCGGCGGUACUAAUAGGCCGAGGACUUGGUU